CCUACGGGUGGCAGCAGUGGGGAAUAUUGCACAAUGGGCGCAAGCCUGAUGCAGCCAUGCCGCGUGUGUGAAGAAGGCCUUCGGGUUGUAAAGCACUUUCAGCGGGGAGGAAGGCGUUAAGGUUAAUAACCUUGGCGAUUGACGUUACCCGCAGAAGAAGCACCGGCUGACUCCGUGCCAGCAGCCGCGGUAAUACGGAGGGUGCAAGCGUUAAUCGGAAUUACUGGGCGUAAAGCGCACGCAGGCGGUCUGUCAAGUCGGAUGUGAAAUCCCCGGGCUCAACCUGGGAACUGCAUUCGAAACUGGCAGGCUAGAGUCUUGUAGAGGGGGGUAGAAUUCCAGGUGUAGCGGUGAAAUGCGUAGAGAUCUGGAGGAAUACCGGUGGCGAAGGCGGCCCCCUGGACAAAGACUGACGCUCAGGUGCGAAAGCGUGGGGAGCAAACAGGAUUAGAUACCCGUGUAGUC
This 465-nucleotide ribosomal RNA is filed under the name uncultured Klebsiella sp. RNAcentral's name for it is "bacterial SSU rRNA". It matches the Rfam family "Bacterial small subunit ribosomal RNA", at positions 338 to 795 of the family's 1533-position model. The record is from RNAcentral. Lineage: Bacteria; Pseudomonadati; Pseudomonadota; Gammaproteobacteria; Enterobacterales; Enterobacteriaceae.